ACCAUCCUCCAAGGCUAAAUACUCCUGACUGACCGAUAGUGAACCAGUACCGUGAGGGAAAGGCGAAAAGAACCCCGGCGAGGGGAGUGAAAAAGAACCUGAAACCGUGUACGUACAAGCAGUGGGAGCACCUUUAUGGUGUGACUGCGUACCUUUUGUAUAAUGGGUCAGCGACUUAUAUUCUGUAGCAAGGUUAACCGUAUAGGGGAGCCGCAGGGAAACCGAGUCUUAACUGGGCGUUAAGUUGCAGGGUAUAGACCCGAAACCCGGU
RNAcentral lists this ribosomal RNA (271 nucleotides) under Klebsiella quasipneumoniae subsp. similipneumoniae. RNAcentral describes it as "partial 23S ribosomal RNA". It matches the Rfam family "Bacterial large subunit ribosomal RNA", at positions 452 to 726 of the family's 2925-position model. Lineage: Bacteria; Pseudomonadati; Pseudomonadota; Gammaproteobacteria; Enterobacterales; Enterobacteriaceae. The record is from RNAcentral.